This 429-nucleotide ribosomal RNA is filed under the name bacterium. Its description in RNAcentral is "partial 16S ribosomal RNA". It matches the Rfam family "Bacterial small subunit ribosomal RNA", at positions 355 to 776 of the family's 1533-position model. The record is from RNAcentral.
UAGGGAAUCUUCGGCAAUGGGGGCAACCCUGGCCGAGCAACGCCGCGUGAGUGAAGAAGGUUUUCGGAUCGUAAAGCUCUGUUGUAAGAGAAGAACGUGUGUGAGAGUGGAAAGUUCACACAGUGACGGUAACUUACCAGAAAGGGACAGCUAACUACGUGCCAGCAGCCGCGGUAAUACGUAGGUCCCGAGCGUUGUCCGGAUUUAUUGGGCGUAAAGCGAGCGCAGGCGGUUUAAUAAGUCUGAAGUUAAAGGCAGUGGCUUAACCAUUGUUCGCUUUGGAAACUGUUAAACUUGAGUGCAGAAGGGGAGAGUGGAAUUCCAUGUGUAGCGGUGAAAUGCGUAGAUAUAUGGAGGAACACCGGUGGCGAAAGCGGCUCUCUGGUCUGUAACUGACGCUGAGGCUCGAAAGCGUGGGGAGCAAACAGG